RNAcentral lists this unclassified non-coding RNA (378 nucleotides) under plant metagenome. RNAcentral describes it as "partial contains 5.8S ribosomal RNA, internal transcribed spacer 2, and large subunit ribosomal RNA". The stretch from base 1 to 105 matches the Rfam family "5.8S ribosomal RNA", at positions 50 to 154 of the family's 154-position model. The record is from RNAcentral.
GAAAUGCGAUAAGUAAUGUGAAUUGCAGAAUUCAGUGAAUCAUCGAAUCUUUGAACGCACCUUGCGCUCCUUGGUAUUCCUUGGAGCAUGCUUGUUUGAGUAUCAUGAAAUCUUCAAAGUAAAUCUUUUGUUAACUCAAUUGGUUUCUACUUUGGUAUUGGAGGUCUUUGCAGCUUCACACCUGCUCCUCUUUGUUCAUUAGCUGGAUCUCAGUGUUAUGCUUGGUUCCACUCGGCGUGAUAAGUUAUCUAUCGCUGAGGACACUGUAAAAGGUGGCCAAGGUAAAUGCAGAUGAACCGCUUCUAAUAGUCCAUUGACUUGGACAAUACUUUUAUGAUCUGAUCUCAAAUCAGGUAGGACUACCCGCUGAACUUAAGC